Daktulosphaira vitifoliae (grape phylloxera) is the source of this 233-nucleotide long non-coding RNA. RefSeq lists it as uncharacterized. The record is from RefSeq and is a predicted model, not a curated record. NCBI's taxonomy places the organism in Eukaryota, Metazoa, Arthropoda, Insecta, Hemiptera, Phylloxeridae. The transcript is spliced from 5 exons.
UAUAAUUUAAAAUACAAUCUUAAGAAAAAAUUAUUUUAAAACUUUUUUUUUUCUUAUUGUAUCUGAUUAAGUAAUUAUGGAAUUUUUUAAAUUUAAUAAAUAUUGUAUCUUAGUAAUUUUGUUUGUUAUAAAUUUUUCAUUGUCAGUGUUAUGUUCACAUAGCAAUGAUAUUACACUUGAUGAAUAUUUAUUAGUUGAAAAGCCAGAUAAAGGUAUUAAAAAUAUCACCGUUA